This 450-nucleotide ribosomal RNA is filed under the name uncultured bacterium. RNAcentral describes it as "partial 16S ribosomal RNA". It matches the Rfam family "Bacterial small subunit ribosomal RNA", at positions 338 to 795 of the family's 1533-position model. The record is from RNAcentral.
CCUACGGGGGGCUGCAGUAAGGAAUAUUGGUCAAUGGACGAAAGUCUGAACCAGCCAUCCCGCGUGCAGGAUGAAAGCCCUAUGGGUUGUAAACUGCUUUUAGCAGAGAAGAAAAGCUUUCAUUAAUGAGAGUCUGACGGUAUCUGCAGAAUAAGCACCGGCUAACUCCGUGCCAGCAGCCGCGGUAAUACGGAGGGUGCGAGCGUUAUCGGGAAUUACUGGUGUGAAAGGGUGCGAAGACGGAGUUGUUGAAAUCUUGUCGCUUAACGAUAAAAUUGCCAAUGAUACUGGUACUCUUGAAUUGGGUUGAGGUUAGCGGAAUGUGACAUGUAGCGGUGAAAGGCAUAGAUAUGUCAUGGAACACCAAUUGCGAAGGCAGCUAACUGGGCCUUGAUUGACGCUGAGGCACGAAAGCGUGGGUAGCGAACAGGAUUAGAUACCGCUGUAGUC